AUUGAACGCUGGCGGCAUGCCUAACACAUGCAAGUCGAACGCGAAAGAGAGGCAACUCUCAAGUAGAGUGGCGGACGGGUGAGUAAUACGUAGGAAUCUGCCCUAGAGUGUGGGAUAACUUGUCGAAAGACGGGCUAAUACCGCAUAAUCUCUAAGGAGCAAAGGUGCCUCGCACUUGUGCGAGGUUUCGCUUUAGGAUGAGCCUACGUCGGAUUAGCUAGUUGGUAGGGUAAUGGCCUACCAAGGCGACGAUCCGUAACUGGUCUGAGAGGAUGAUCAGUCACACUGGAACUGAGACACGGUCCAGACUCCUACGGGUGGCAG
This 324-nucleotide ribosomal RNA is filed under the name uncultured Pseudomonadota bacterium. Its description in RNAcentral is "bacterial SSU rRNA". It matches the Rfam family "Bacterial small subunit ribosomal RNA", at positions 30 to 351 of the family's 1533-position model. The record is from RNAcentral. Lineage: Bacteria; Pseudomonadati; Pseudomonadota.